GCAGUCGAACGGAGAUUACAGGCGGAAGUUUUCGGAUGGAAGCCUGUAAACUUAGUGGCGGACGGGUGAGUAACACGUGAGCAACCUGCCUAUCAGAGGGGGAUAACGAUUGGAAACGAUCGCUAAUACCGCAUGACAUAGCGGAACCGCAUGGUUCUGUUAUCAAAGAUUUAUCGCUGAUAGAUGGGCUCGCGUCCGAUUAGAUAGUUGGUGGGGUAACGGCCUACCAAGUCGACGAUCGGUAGCCGGACUGAGAGGUCGAACGGCCACAUUGGGACUGAGACACGGCCCAGACUCCUACGGGAGGCAGCAGUGGGGGAUAUUGCACAAUGGGGGAAACCCUGAUGCAGCGACGCCGCGUGAGGGAAGACGGUCCUCUGGAUUGUAAACCUCUGUCUUCGGGGACGAAACGAGACGGUACCCGAGGAGGAAGCCACGGCUAACUACGUGCCAGCAGCCGCGGUAAUACGUAGGUGGCAAGCGUUGUCCGGAAUUACUGGGUGUAAAGGGAGCGUAGGCGGGCAGGCAAGUCAGGCGUGAAAUAUAUCGGCUCAACCGGUAACGGCGCUUGAAACUGCAGGUCUUGAGUGAAGUAGAGGUUGGCGGAAUUCCUAGUGUAGCGGUGAAAUGCGUAGAUAUUAGGAGGAACACCAGUGGCGAAGGCGGCCAACUGGGCUUUUACUGACGCUGAGGCUCGAAAGUGUGGGGAGCAAACAGGAUUAGAUACCCUGGUAGUCCACACCGUAAACGAUGAUUACUAGGUGUGGGGGGACUGACCCCUUCCGUGCCGGAGUUAACACAAUAAGUAAUCCACCUGGGGAGU
Molecule: ribosomal RNA, 823 nt
Filed under: uncultured bacterium
Lineage: Bacteria
Description: bacterial SSU rRNA
Rfam family: Bacterial small subunit ribosomal RNA
Source: RNAcentral